Non-coding RNA from Podarcis lilfordi (Lilford's wall lizard), 6686 nucleotides. The record is from the annotation of a GenBank genome assembly. NCBI's taxonomy places the organism in Eukaryota, Metazoa, Chordata, Lepidosauria, Squamata, Lacertidae.
CUCUUGGCCUUUUGCACUGAUUCACAUGGAGCUUGGACAAUCUUCUCAUUGUCUGGUUACAUUUCUUUAUUUCUUUAUUUCCCCUUUCUUUUUAAUCCUCUCUAGUCCCUUAAAUAAUUUAAUUCCCCCCUUUUCCUGUUCGAUUUCCCACCCCACCCCUUACCCUGCCCUGUGGGAAGAUUCUCCCUGUAGCUGUGGCUUGCCUUUCCCAAUAGGGAGAGAGCCCCCGUUAGGGGCUUUCUUUCGCAAAAAGGUUUGCCCCAUUUCUCUUGUUGAAAUUGUGGGGCUAGUCAGGGCUGUUCCCAGCUUAGCUGGAAUCACUUUCGUUUAUAGUAUCCCCGAAGGUUGGCUUUAUUUUGAGUGUGUGCAGUGCUGUUGGCCAAAUUUUAAGCUAGCCUUGGGUGGGAGCACUAAUUUGAGUUCCUUUAAUAUUGCUAUGAGACUAAGAUUCUCAAGAGCAGAAGCAGGGAGGCCUAUUCGGCCUGCACAUAACUUCCAAGCCUAAGUCUGCUACAGGUAGCACUUAAUUGUUAAGUCUCUGACACGUGACUCAUUCUCGCUAUAGGAAUGUAUCUGCUUGCAGGCCCAGUUGCUGCUAAUGUAUAUCUGAGGCAGACAGAGGGCCCCAGAGGCUCUCUGUGCCUCCAAGGACUAUGAGCACUCUGUGUAUGCUCUUGAACUAUGCUGUUUCUGAACAAGUUUAUUUUCUUUAAGUUUGUUUUGCCCUGAUAGUGGCGACUGCCAUUUUAGAGAUGAGCCAUUGUGGCUUAGUGGCUAAAGUGUAGGACUAGGACCUGGGAGACAGGGUUCAUAUCCCCCUCUUAGCCAUUGUUAUAACAAAACAAAACAAACUGCUCCUUUUGGGCUAUUCUGUUGCUGGGUAGUUAGGCCCGUUUGUGAUAAAAGAAUUUUGGGUUUCUUGAAGGGGUGCUUCCCUCUAAAAGGGCAAGCAGGUGUACCUGGACAAGCUGUGGGCUACCUCAACUCUGCUAUUUCACUGGAAACAUUUAUGCCUGGCCUAGCAGGUGAUCCUAGGGCUUUGCCCUAGAAUUCAAUGGCCUGGAAGCGUUUCCGGCCUGAAUAGUGUCCCCAUGUGGUCCAUGAAGCAUUGGUUUCACUGGGUCAGCGCAUAGUGCUGGUAAUGCCUGGGUUGCAGGAUUGGUCCCUGUAUGGGACAGCUGCAUGCUCCCCAUUGCUCUACCUGGACACUUAAGUCCUUUUGGUGGUUACCUCACUGCGAGGGAUGUAACGGGCGCCACGUUUGCAAUAUGCAAGCGGGAGAAAGCACCUUUGCGUGCCCGCAUUGCAGUUUGUGUGUUGCAGGGCACGGCGCUGCACGGGCUGCAAUUGCAUUGCAUUGCAUGAGAGAUUUGCAGUUGCAUUGCACGGAGCGUGUGUGCAUUGCAUGGAGGGUGUGUGUGCAUUGCACGGAGGGUGUAGUUGCAUUGCACGGAGGGUGUUGUUGCAUUGUACGGAAGGUGUGGUUGCAUUGCACGGAGUGUGUGUGCAUUGCACGGAGUGUGUAGUUGCAUUGCACGGAGUGUGUGUGUAUGCAUUGCAUGGAGGGUGUAGUUGCAUUGAACGGAGGGUUUGUGUGUGCAUUGCACGGAGUGUGUGUGCAUUGAACGGAGGGUGUAGUUGCAUUGAACGGAGGGUGUGUAGUGCACGGAGUGUGUAGUUGCAUUGCACGGAGUGUGUAGUUGCAUUGCAUGGAGUGUAGUUGCAUUGCAUGGAGUGUAGUUGCAUUGCAGGGAGUGUGUUUUGCAUUGAACGGAGUGUGUAGUUGCAUUGCACGGAGGGUUUGUGUGUGCAUUGCACGGAGUGUGUAGUUGCAUUGCACGGAGGGUUUGUGUGUGCAUUGCACGGAGUGUGUAGUUGCAUUGCACGGAGUGUGUAGUUGCAUUGCAUGGAGUGUGUGUGCACUGCAUGGAGUGUGUUUUUGCAUUGCACAGAGUGUGUGUCUGAAAAGGAAGCUGGCUCGGCGGCAGCUUUGUCGGGACUUCUUUAAGGGUUCUGGCCAGCCUCGGCCCUGUAAAUUUACAUAUCAUGAUGGCAGCACAAGAUGCCCCCUGCCCAAGCGGGGGCUGGAAGCUGGCAAGCAAUAGCUCAAUACCUUUUGCCCAUAUUCCCAUUUUAUUUAGGGAUCUAGUUGGAUAUCGUUGCUAAAACAUACCACUUGCCUAUGGAGAAGCUGUCUGCCUUGAAGGAAGUUAUUUUGUAAUACUUCCUCUGUAGCAAGUGAUGCUUCAUCAGAUCCGAUCUUGCUGGGUCUCUUAAUUAAUCUUCCCACUAGGCCAGGCUGCCUGCGGCCUGAGGUCCCCUUACCUUUGUGUACGCCUACCAAGUGUGGUGAAGGCAGAUAUCAGGCGAUGGUAGCAAUUCCUGAAUGUAUGCAAUAGUAGAAUCAUAGAAUCAUAGAAUCACAGAGUUGGAAGAGACCACAAGGGCCAUCGAGUCCAGCCCCCUGCCAAGCAGGAAACACCAUCAGAGCACUCCUGACAUAUGGUUGUCAAGCCUCUGCUUAAAGACCUCCAAAGAAGGAGACUCCACCUCACUCCUUGGCAGCAAAUUCCACUGUCGAACAGCUCUUACUGUCAGGAAGUUCUUCCUUAUGUUUAGGUGGAAUCUUCUUUCUUGUAGUUUGGAUCCAUUGCUCCGUGUCCGCUUCUCUGGAGUUCGCCAUGGCAGGAUACCUUGAACCCGCACAGGGAUUUUCAGGUUCAUGCUGGUGCUGCUGGAUCUUUGCCCUUUGGUUUCUAUUUCAAGGGAUGCUGGUGUGCAAAGCUAUGGCCUCAAGCCCGGUGUGGUGAGGCAAUCAUGUGACAUAACUUUUCUUGAGUUUUCCCCAUUGUAGUAGCAGUUCACAUGUGGCCCGAGGAGUUCAGUGACCAUUGGAUCUGCUUUUGGUCUGAUAACCAGGUAGUGGUGAGCGUCUUAGCAAAACAGUCCUCACGCUCUAGCACAGUCUCCGCCCCUCCGUUCAUGCUUUCGAGCUGCGCCGCUUAAGGUUUAAUAUUGUGCUGUCUACUCUCCAAAUUACAGGAUCCUCUAAUGAUGUCGCUGACACUCUAUCCCAUUUUCAGCUGAAGUGCUUCAGAUCCUGGGCUCCAGAUUCAGCUAUUGCCAGACUUUUCCAGACCACCUGUGGCAUUUUGACAACAAUUAGUAAUUACAGAGAGCAGCAGCUUCCAUUUCCCCUUCUGCUUUUAGCUCUUAUGGGAAGGCCUGGAUGGAUUUCUUAGCCUUAAGCUGGCAGUCCUCGGCCAUUCAGAUGAACUGGCCCCCAUCCUCUGAGCAGAUCCGCAGUAUUUGGUCCACCUGCUGCAGAUUGGGCGUGCGUUAUAACUAUCAGAAUUCAGUCCGCUGCAAUGUCUGUUACACUGAAGCUUUAUUUUUCAGAGACCCUUGUAUGAAGUUUGUAGUGCGCAUGGCCUUGGAAGGUUGGAAUAGGCUCCAACCUCAUAGGACAGUGGGCAGGAAGCUGGUCAAUUUUUACCUAUGCAGUAUCUGCAACAAGUUAAAACUUGUCUGCUGGUUAAAGAUCAAGGCGAGACUCCUUUCAGUAGUCCACUGCAUUUUCGCACUGAGGCUUGGGAAAAUGGUUGUUGGAGCCAGCAUGGGGCUGAGAGUCUGGAGGCUUAUUGCUUCAGGACUUUUCCUUAUCCUUUGGAGCUUGUCAUUAGAGUUGGGAACUCUAAAACAGACUUAGUGGGCAGGAGUGCCACAAUCAGGCUUCCCGCCACAGUUGAGGAGGGCCCUUGCCUGGUUAUGGAUAACAGAAUAUUUGGCUUUUCAUUCCCUGGGGGCUGGCCCGCUCCUAGUGCAUGAAAAUGGGUUCCCGUUAGCCAGGCAUCAAUGUGCUUACGUCGUGCACCAGUUAUUACGGCCUGCGGCUUGCUUACCGCUGAACACGCCUCAUUCCUUACGAUUGGGUGCUGCUGCAAAGGCUGCACACUGGGGCCUGUCAGUAGACAGGAUUGUGAAUACGGGUCAUUGGAAGUCUGACGCUGACAAGGGUUAUAUCAGGAAGUGUCACAAUGAUGUCUGUGCUGAUGCUUGUCUGUUAUUUCCUUUUUUCAUAGGAGCAGCUGUGCACAUUUGGGCCACAGCAUUGUACACUAGGCUGGCAAGCAGGUUGACGAGUUUGGACUGGGGCGCCAUCUCAGUCUUCCUGCCCAUGUGAACAUAUACUGGAUGUCCAGAUGGGGAAUGCUUUGGGAGGAGAUCCUUCCUUUGGUGCGGUCGAGUGUGACCUGUGCAGGUCCUCCCGCAGUGCUAGUGGUGCAGCUGGACGAGAAUGACUUGCCGUCUUCCUCCAGCAUAAGUUUGCAUUCCUGCAUGCAAGAGGGCUUGGAUUGAGUUGAUGGCAGCUCUCCCAGGACUCAAAAUAAUUUAAGGCAUUGGUUCAAGGUGGUCUGGAGGGGGGGUUGGAGCACCUGUCCCCUCCAAUGCGCAAAGGAUUCACCAUGCUUUUGUCGACCCCUUUCGAGGGGUAGGGGCAUGCAAGAGUCCCUGGGAGCAUUUGGGGGUGAGCUUGAGUCUGAUCCUGGUUCAUUGCUCCCCACGCUGUUACUGGUACUGACGAUAUGGUGGGGCCCAGUCGUCAGUGCUGCCCUGCUGAGGUCAGGUGCAGCCAGUCAGGAACCAAUGCCUAGACAAACUACCACCGAGCAGGCCAGAAAGCAUGUUAAUAAGGCGGUGGACAAUAGAAUAAAAUAAAUAAAGUAAAUAAAAUAAAAUAACAAAUAAAAUAAAAUAGGUCCUUGCUUUAGGUGGUUCUGUAAUAUUGCACCCUGCUAUUUUUCUUCAAGGCUCUUGCUCUCUUUAGGGCAGAUGGGGUGCAUCUUUCCCCUAUGGGGAACGACACCUGGCAGGAUGCGAUUGCCUUGGGAUUCAUUGCUCCCCCACAAUGUUUGCUGGUACUGACGAUAUGGUGGGGCCCAGUCGUCAGUGCUGCCCUGCUGAGGUCAGGUGCAGCUAGUCAGGAACCAAUGCCUAGACAAACUACCACCGAGAAGGCCGGAAAGCGUGUUAAUAAGGCGGUGGACAAUAGAAUAAAAUAAAUAAAGUAAAUAAAAUAAAAUAACAAAUAAAAUAAAAUAGGUCCUUGCUUUAGGUGGUUCUGUAAUAUUGCACCCUGCUAUUUUCUUCAAGGCUGUUGCCCUCUUUAGGGCAGAUGGGGUGCAUCUUUCCCCUAUGGGGAACGACACCUGGCGGGAUGCGAUUGCCUUGGGAUUCAUUGCUCCCCCCACAAUGUUUGCUGGUACUGAUGAUAUGGUGGGGCCCAGUCGUCAGUGCUGCCCUGCUGAGGUCAGGUGCAGCUAGUCAGGAACCAAUGCCUAGACAAACUACCACCGAGAAGGCCGGAAAGCGUGUUAAUAAGGCAGUGGAAAUAAAAUACAGGUCAUUGGAAAUCGAAUGCAUUCAAAGGUUAUGUUCGUUAACAUUAUUGGUGUCUUACAAUUUUGCUUGUUUUACCUCAGGUUUAGCGACUGUCCGCAUCUGGUUGGUGGGGCACAGUAUCGUGCAUUGGGCCGGCAUCGGAGCCCGGCAAUCCGGAUUGGGACCAGGUCUCGGCCUUCCUCCACAUGUCCACUUGGCUUGGCUGUCCAGACGGGGAAUGCGCUGGUCAGAGUUCCUGCCGCUGAUUCGGAGGCAGAUGUUGUUGGAGGGGCCUCCUGCAGCUAUUGUGGUGCAGCUGGGUGAGAACGACCUGGUCUCCAUGGACUGUUUUUCGUUACGCGCAGCAAUUUUGGGCGACCUCGACGUGCUGCGGGCUAUGUUGCCGACUGCAAAGUUAUUUUGGUCGAAGUUUCUGCAACGACGUGCUUGGAGAGGGAGUCGUUGCCCAGCUGCCAUCGAAAGGGCCAGAAAGCGUAUCAAUUCUGCGGUGUCGAAAAAGGUUUUCGAGUUGGGUGGCGAUGUAAUCUCUCAUUCUGAGAUUAUCGCUCAGAAUGAAUCCUUUUUCAGAGACGAUGGUGUGCACCUUUCGGCCUUAGGGAACGAGGCUUGGCUAGGUGCGGUGGUGGCUAAGCUGAGGGCUUGGCUGGGUCUGUGAGUGGUUUGGCGGUGAGCUAAGGGCUCCAUGGCGGUUAGGCAUUGGUUAAAUUUGGUUGGUGGAGGGGUAAGUGCCUACCCCUCCAAUGGUGGUGCGGAAAUGGGAAUUCCGUUAAAGGAAUCCAGGGGCUUGCCAUUCUUUCGUCCUUGUCCCUGGUAUCGGACUUGGGCCGUGCAAGCCCCACCGGAACAUGAGGGUGAGAAGUGUGAGACUGAUGCCCAGCUUCAUUUUCUCACCCAAUACUUGUUUCCCACGCUGGCUUCCGCUGGAAUCCGGAAGUCAGCUCUGUCCCUGGGGCAAGGACAGAUAGUCAUAACCAAUGCCUAAGCAACCACUCACAUUUUUGUACUUUGAAUAAAGUUGUGGCCAAAAUCAUGCCAAAAACCUUAAACAAAAAUUGAUGUGUGAAGUGUGAAUUCUUUGGGGGGUGGCAUUGUGGGACUCAACACGCAAAGCGUGUUCUCCAUAAAAGAGAGCACGUGUUGCGGUUGGGGGAACAGGCCACCCUGCUGUUACUGGGCAGAUUUGGCGAGGAACCCAAGCCUUUAAGUGGUUAAUUUGGGUUACUGGGGAGUUUUGAAUGUUGCCAAUUUGGAGGUGGGGUCAGAGGCUUUAAAUACAGGACGUC